This 468-nucleotide ribosomal RNA is filed under the name uncultured bacterium. RNAcentral's name for it is "bacterial SSU rRNA". It matches the Rfam family "Bacterial small subunit ribosomal RNA", at positions 328 to 803 of the family's 1533-position model. The record is from RNAcentral.
GAAUUCAACUCCUACGGGAGGCAGCAGCAAGGAAUCUUCCGCAAUGGGGGCAACCCUGACGGAGCAACGCCGCGUGGGGGAUGACGCCCUUCGGGGUGUAAACCCCUUUUCUGCGGGAAGAAGGGCUUCGGCCUUGACGGUACCGGAGGAAGAAGGACCGGCUAACUACGUGCCAGCAGCCGCGGUAAUACGUAGGGUCCGAGCGUUGUCCGGAGUUACUGGGCGUAAAGCGCGCGCAGGCGGCGGUGCUGGCCCGGCGUGAAAGCCCCCGGCUCAACCGGGGAGGGUCGUCGGGGACCGCACCGCUUGAGGGCGGUAGGGGCUGGUGGAAUGCCUGGUGUAGUGGUGAAAUGCGUAGAGAUCAGGCGGAACACCCGUGGCGAAGGCGGCCAGCUGGGCCGUCCCUGACGCUGAGGCGCGAAGGCGUGGGGAGCGAACGGGAUUAGAUACCCUAGUAGUCCAGGCGUU